AGUCGAACGAUGAAGCCCAGCUUGCUGGGUGGAUUAGUGGCGAACGGGUGAGUAACACGUGAGUAACCUGCCCUUGACUCUGGGAUAAGCACUGGAAACGGUGUCUAAUACCGGAUAUAUCAGCUGGCCGCAUGGUCUGGUUGUGGAAAGAAUUUUGGUCAAGGAUGGACUCGCGGCCUAUCAGGUAGUUGGUGAGGUAAUGGCUCACCAAGCCUACGACGGGUAGCCGGCCUGAGAGGGUGACCGGCCACACUGGGACUGAGACACGGCCCAGACUCCUACGGGAGGCAGCAGUGGGGAAUAUUGCACAAUGGGCGAAAGCCUGAUGCAGCAACGCCGCGUGAGGGAUGACGGCCUUCGGGUUGUAAACCUCUUUUAGUAGGGAAGAAGCGAAAGUGACGGUACCUGCAGAAAAAGCACCGGCUAACUACGUGCCAGCAGCCGCGGUAAUACGUAGGGUGCAAGCGUUGUCCGGAAUUAUUGGGCGUAAAGAGCUCGUAGGCGGUUUGUCGCGUCUGCUGUGAAAACUGGAGGCUCAACCUCCAGCCUGCAGUGGGUACGGGCAGACUAGAGUGCGGUAGGGGAGAUUGGAAUUCCUGGUGUAGCGGUGGAAUGCGCAGAUAUCAGGAGGAACACCGAUGGCGAAGGCAGAUCUCUGGGCCGUAACUGACGCUGAGGAGCGAAAGCAUGGGGAGCGAACAGGAUUAGAUACCCUGGUAGUCCAUGCCGUAAACGUUGGGAACUAGAUGUGGGGGCCAUUCCACGGUCUCCGUGUCGCAGCUAACGCAUUAAGUUCCCCGCCUGGGGAGUACGGCCGCAAGGCUAAAACUCAAGGAAUUGACGGGGGCCCGCACAAGCGGCGGAGCAUGCGGAUUAAUUCGAUGCAACGCGAAGAACCUUACCAAGGCUUGACAUAUACGAGAACGGGCCAGAAAUGGUCAACUCUUUGGACACUCGUAAACAGUGGUGCAUGGUUGUCGUCAGCUCGUGUCGUGAGAUGUUGGGUUAAGUCCCGCAACGAGCGCAACCCUCGUUCUAUGUUGCCAGCACGUUAUGGUGGGAACUCAUAGGAGACUGCCGGGGUCAACUCGGAGGAAGGUGGGGAUGACGUCAAAUCAUCAUGCCCCUUAUGUCUUGGGCUUCACGCAUGCUACAAUGGCCGGUACAAAGGGCUGCAAUACCGUAAGGUGGAGCGAAUCCCAAAAAGCCGGUCUCAGUUCGGAUUGAGGUCUGCAACUCGACCUCAUGAAGUCGGAGUCGCUAGUAAUCGCAGAUCAGCAACGCUGCGGUGAAUACGUUCCCGGGCCUUGUACACACCGCCCGUCAAGUCAUGAAAGUCGGUAACACCCAACGCCAGUGGCCUAA
Molecule: ribosomal RNA, 1365 nt
Filed under: Microbacteriaceae bacterium PDD-32b-2
Lineage: Bacteria; Bacillati; Actinomycetota; Actinomycetes; Micrococcales; Microbacteriaceae
Description: 16S ribosomal RNA
Rfam family: Bacterial small subunit ribosomal RNA
Source: RNAcentral